Molecule: ribosomal RNA, 557 nt
Filed under: uncultured bacterium
Lineage: Bacteria
Description: bacterial SSU rRNA
Rfam family: Bacterial small subunit ribosomal RNA
Source: RNAcentral
ACGGGUGAGUAACGCGUGGGAACGUACCCUUUACUACGGAAUAACGCAGGGAAACUUGUGCUAAUACCGUAUGUGCCCUUUGGGGGAAAGAUUUAUCGGUAAAGGAUCGGCCCGCGUUGGAUUAGCUAGUUGGUGGGGUAAAGGCCUACCAAGGCGACGAUCCAUAGCUGGUCUGAGAGGAAGAUCAGCCACAUUGGGACUGAGACACGGCCCAAACUCCUACGGGAGGCAGCAGUGGGGAAUAUUGGACAAUGGGCGCAAGCCUGAUCCAGCCAUGCCGCGUGAGUGAUGAAGGCCCUAGGGUUGUAAAGCUCUUUCACCGGAGAAGAUAAUGACGGUAUCCGGAGAAGAAGCCCCGGCUAACUUCGUGCCAGCAGCCGCGGUAAUACGAAGGGGGCUAGCGUUGUUCGGAAUUACUGGGCGUAAAGCGCACGUAGGCGGAUCGAUCAGUCAGGGGUGAAAUCCCAGGGCUCAACCCUGGAACUGCCUUUGAUACUGUCGAUCUGGAGUUUGGAAGAGGUGAGUGGAAUUCCGAGUGUAGAGGUGAAAUUCGUAGA